RNAcentral lists this non-coding RNA (107 nucleotides) under unclassified sequences. Its description in RNAcentral is "EGFOA RNA". It matches the Rfam family "EGFOA RNA". The record is from Rfam by way of RNAcentral.
UCAUCCCCAGAUUCAAAACCGUCGCAGUAGCCUUUUGGCUAGGUGGCAUGACAGAGUUAUGUUGAAUAUACGUGGUAAAGCUGCACCUGGGCACGUUGAAUGUCAUG